CGAUGCCUGAGUGUUCGCACUCAAGCAGCGAAGCGGUAGUGCAGACAAAGAGAUCAGAAAAGACGAAGUCUUUUCUGUGAAGCCGGGGCGUGAGCCAUCCGGUGGAGAGAUCACCAGCGAGAAUGAUGACAUGAGUAGCGAUAAACAGGGUGAGAGACCCUGUCGCCGAAAGUCCAAGGGUUCCUGCUUAAAGUUAAUCUGAGCAGGGUAAGCCGACCCCUAAGGCGAGGCCGAAAGGCGUAGUCGAUGGGAACCAGGUUAAUAUUCCUGGGCCAGAUGGAAGUGACGGAUCGCGGACGUUGUUCACCCUUAUUGGAUUGGGUGGGCAGCCAGGCGGUCCCUGGAAAUAGCUCCAUCAUGAGAUCGUACCCUAAACCGACACAGGUGGACUGGUAGAGAAUACCAAGGCGCUUGAGAGAACGAUGUUGAAGGAACUCGGCAAAAUACCUCCGUAAGUUCGCGAGAAGGAGGCCCGGUUCGCACGCAAGUGUGGGCCGGGGGCACAAACCAGGGGGUGGCGACUGUUUACUAAAAACACAGGGCUCUGCGAAGUCGCAAGACGACGUAUAGGGUCUGACGCCUGCCCGGUGCCGGAAGGUUAAAAGGAGAGGUGCAAGCCUUGAAUUGAAGCCCCGGUAAACGGCGGCCGUAACUAUAACGGUCCUAAGGUAGCGAAAUUCCUUGUCGGGUAAGUUCCGACCUGCACGAAUGGCGUAACGACUUCCCCGCUGUCUCCAACAUCGACUCAGCGAAAUUGAAUUGCCGGUCAAGAUGCCGGCUUCCCGCGGUUAGACGGAAAGACCCCAUGCACCUUUACUACAGCUUCACACUGGCAUCAGGACUGCGAUGUGCAGGAUAGGUGGUAGGCUUUGAAGCGGGAACGCCAGUUCCCGUGGAGCCUUCCUUGAGAUACCACCCUUCGCACUCUUGAUGUCUAACCGCGGACCGUCAUCCGGUUCCGGGACCCUGUGUGGCGGGUAGUUUGACUGGGGCGGUCGCCUCCCAAACAGUAACGGAGGCGCGCGAAGGUUGGCUCAGAACGGUCGGAAAUCGUUCGUCGAGUGCAAUGGCAUAAGCCAGCCUGACUGCAAGACUGACAAGUCGAGCAGAGUCGAAAGACGGCCAUAGUGAUCCGGUGGUCCCGAGUGGAAGGGCCAUCGCUCAACGGAUAAAAGGUACGCUGGGGAUAACAGGCUGAUACUGCCCAAGAGUCCAUAUCGACGGCAGUGUUUGGCACCUCGAUGUCGGCUCAUCUCAUCCUGGGGCUGGAGCAGGUCCCAAGGGUAUGGCUGUUCGCCAUUUAAAGAGGUACGUGAGCUGGGUUUAGAACGUCGUGAGACAGUUCGGUCCCUAUCUUCCGUGGGUGUAGGAUACUUGAGAGGAGUUGCCCCUAGUACGAGAGGACCGGGGUGAACGAUCCACUGGUGGACCUGUUGUCGUGCCAACGGCAGUGCAGGGUAGCUAUGAUCGGACAGGAUAACCGCUGAAGGCAUCUAAGCGGGAAGCCCCCCUCAAAACAAGGUAUCCCCGAGGACCGUGGUAGACCACCACGUCGAUAGGUCGGAGAUGUAAGCGCAGCAAUGCGUUCAGUUGACCGAUACUAAUGGUCCGAUAGGCUUGAUCCG
Molecule: ribosomal RNA, 1625 nt
Filed under: Limimaricola litoreus
Lineage: Bacteria; Pseudomonadati; Pseudomonadota; Alphaproteobacteria; Rhodobacterales; Paracoccaceae
Description: partial 23S ribosomal RNA
Rfam family: Bacterial large subunit ribosomal RNA
Source: RNAcentral